This 253-nucleotide ribosomal RNA is filed under the name uncultured bacterium. Its description in RNAcentral is "partial 16S ribosomal RNA". It matches the Rfam family "Bacterial small subunit ribosomal RNA", at positions 524 to 776 of the family's 1533-position model. The record is from RNAcentral.
UACGGGGGGGGCAAGCGUUGUUCGGAAUUACUGGGCGUAAAGGGCUCGUAGGUGGCCAACUAAGUCAGACGUGAAAUCCCUCGGCUUAACCGGGGAACUGCGUCUGAUACUGGAUGGCUUGAGUUCGGGAGAGGGAUGCGGAAUUCCAGGUGUAGCGGUGAAAUUCGUAGAUAUUGGGAAGAACACCGGUGGCGAAGGCGGCUCACUGGCUCGUAACUGACGCUCAUGCACGACAGCGUGGGGAUCAAACAGG